Molecule: long non-coding RNA, 1391 nt
Filed under: Homo sapiens (human)
Lineage: Eukaryota; Metazoa; Chordata; Mammalia; Primates; Hominidae
Description: non-protein coding lnc-ZNF724-2:1
Source: RNAcentral
CUUGUGCUGGGUGCUGUUUGGCAUGGCCAGUGGCACAGUAAGAGAAGGAGUAGGAGUGGAGGAGUGAAGAAAGAGGAGGAGGAGAAGAGAAGAAAAGGAGGAGGAAAGAGAAGAACUAGAAGAGAAAAUGAGAAGAAGAUAGUAAGAAGAGAGGAAGUGGAGAAAAAAAGGAGAGGGGGACAACAGGACCAGGAGAGGAGAGGAGAAAAGGGAAGCUAGGAGGAAGUAGGGAGAAAAAAGGAGGAGAAGAAGAAAAGAAUGAGGAAAAGAGAAGAGGACGAGAGGAGGAGGAGAGGAUGAGAAAAAGAGGAAAGGAGGAAAGGAAGAGAAGGAGGAGGAGGAGAAGGAGGAGUAGAGGAGAUGGACAAGGAGGAGGAGGGGACAAGGAAGAGGAGAAGACGAAGAGAAAGGAGAGGAGGAGAAUCGGGAGCAGAAGAAGGAGGAGGAGAUGAAGAGGUGAAGGAGAGGAGGAGGAAAGGAGAAGAGAAGGAGGAGGAGAAAAGAAAGGAGUGGAGAAAGAGGAGAGGAGGAGAAAAAAUAGGAAACGAAGAGGAGAAGAAUAGGAGGAGGAAAAGGAUGGGAGAAAAGAAAAAGGAAAAGUAGGAGGAGUAGAAAAAGAGGAGAAGGAGGAAGAAGAAAGAGAAGGAGGAGACGAAAAGAAUGAGAAAAAGAGGAGAGGAGAAUGAGGAGAAGGCGUAGAAGAAAAGAAGGAGGAGAGGAUAAAGAAGGAGAAGAAAAGGAGGAUGGGAGGAAGAGAAGAGGAAAAGGAAAAAGGAAGAGGAGAGAAAAAGGAAAAGGAGGAGAAGAGUAGAGGAGAAGAAAGGAAAAGGAGGAUGAUAGGAAGAAGACGGAGGAGAAGAGGACAGAGAAGUAGAGGAGAAAAAAGGAAAAGAAUGGGGAGAAGGAGGAAAGUAGGAACAAAGAAAAGGAGGGGGAAGAGAGUAGGAGGAAGAGGAAGGGAAGAGGAGGAAAGGAGGGGGAGAGGAGGAGGAGGACGAGGAGAAGAUGGAGAAAAGGAAGAUGAGGAAGAGAAGGAGGGGAGGAGGAGAGAAGAAAGAAGAAAAGGAACAGGAGGAGAGGAGAAAGGAGAGGAGAAGAAGGAGAGAAAGGAAAAGUAAGAGGAAGAGGAGAAUGUGGAUAGGAGAAGGAGGAAGAGAAAAAGGUGGAGAGGAGGAGAGGCGAAGGAAAAGGAGGAAGAACUGAAAAGGAGGAGAGGAAAAGGAGACAAGGGGAGGGGAGGAGGAAGAAAAGAAAAAAACGGGAGGAUGAGGAAAGGAGGAGGAAACAAAAAGGAGAAAGGACGAGGAGAAAAAGAGGAAAAGGAGGAGGAGAGAUGGAAGAGGAGAGGUGGUGGAGGGGAGUAAAAAGGAGAGGAGGAGGAAGGGAAGAAA